This 3275-nucleotide long non-coding RNA is filed under the name Durio zibethinus. RNAcentral's name for it is "long non-coding RNA (DZIB_LNC002417)". Lineage: Eukaryota; Viridiplantae; Streptophyta; Magnoliopsida; Malvales; Malvaceae. The record is from RNAcentral.
CUAUUUUAUGUAAAUAUAUAUAUAUAAUUUCUUACAAUCAUCCGUUACUAAUUAAAACAUCAUAGCCCACGAAUGCCUAAGUGUACACGCUUGAUUUGGCUGCCAUCAGUCAAACAAUGGUAACCUCGAAAAGAAAAUGUAAAGCAACUCUUAUUAAAAUCUUACGUUUGUCCUUUAAUUAUUGGAAACCCCCAAAAAUUAUAAUUUACAUAUUAUUAAUUAAUUUAUUAAUCUUAACCUCGUUAUUAUCUAAUUAACAUCGUCAAUUCUCAUUUUUCUUUAACCCCUUUGUUUCAAAAUGGAUGCCAGAGCAGCUGGUCCAUUCAAAAUUACCUUUUAUCCUACUACAUUGAUAUAAACAUUAAGAUAUACAAGGGUAUAAUUGUCUUUCAGGGUGUCCAAUAAAUCCUCGUCCUUAAACAUCAUCAAACUUAUAUAAACCCCAACAACUCUUCCUUCUUUUCACCAAACAAACUACUACUUGAAAAAAUAAAUCUCUUUUCUCUUUAUAUGUAUAGUGAAAUGAAGCAAGAGAGUAACAGAAGCUUCUGCAACCGGCACGUGGCAGACCCGUGUAAGGCUUUCGGACGGCGGUGCAGCCUGCUGGUGAAGGAGCAAAGAGCAAGGUUCUACAUUCUCCGCCGGUGUGUUACCAUGCUUGUUUGCUGGAACGAAUACGGUGACACUUGAAGGAAAAAAAAAAGAAAUGUAGAGAGCAAACAUUAGAGCUUAUAUUAGAAGAAAAUUUCUAUGUUAAUAUAUAUAUUAGAACACUCAUCAAAAGGAAUGGUUCUUUUUUCAUUUAAUUUUUUUUUUUUGUGAAUUUUGGGCAAAGAAAAAGUGUAGAUCAUCAUAAAUAUAAUUACAGUAACAUUAAUUUCUUGAAAAUAUUUGGUCCCUUGAGAAGGGUUUCAUUUUUCUUCUUUUCUGCUCUAUUUAUAUAGUUAAAAUGAAGUUUUCUUGGCAGAAUUUUGAUGGGAAAGGGAAUAGCUUUCCAAGCCUUUCUAGGAAGAAAUGGGGCUAUGAACUUGGUAUAGUGCUUGUUUUGCCUGUUGCUGAUUUGAUGAUUAUCUCAUAUAUUUCCUAUUCCAGAUAUAUAUACAGAUUUAAUUUGCUUGGCUAGCAAAUUAUAUCAUUUUUUUCCUUUUGGAUAAUUAUGGCAACUUGAUUUGACAAAUUAUAAAAGCUUCCCCAAUAUUUUAUUCUUUCUGCCAAAAUAACAUGUCUUUUUUUAUACAAUUAUUUUUAAAAAUUGAAUUUAAAUUUUAAUAUUUAUAAUUUUUUUAUUUUUAAAUUAAGAUUUCUUUUUCCUAAAAAAUUAACUUGUUUUCUAAAUUGGGUUUCAGUUAAUUAUGUCAAUCAUGCAAUAGAAAUUACAUAUUAGAAUCUGGGAAAAAAAGAAAAAAAUUGGGUGAUUAAAUUUUGAUCAUUUCCAAGCUCAAGAGGAAGGAUAUUAAAGGCUAGAAUUAUGUAGAAAAAAAUCUAACGGCUUAAAGCAUAAGAAACGGAAGAAUGGGGAUAUAGAUAGAUUUAACGAUUUAUAUUAUAUAAAAUAUUAAAAUUUAUAUAUUUAUAUUAUAUUUUAUAUAAAAAAUAUAUAUUAUAAUUUAUAUUGAUAUAAAAAUAUAUAAUAUAUUUUUUAUUUUAUUAAAUUUAAAUAUAAUUAUUAUUAAAAUUUAAAAUUAUAAUAUUUUUUAUUUAUAUUUAUAUUAUAUUUUAAAUUACUAAGUCUAGAUUUCUUGCCCAGCCAUUUUGGUUCUGAAGCUGUCCUUUUAUUUCCUUAAAAGUGAAAAAGCUAUGGCAUGUGUGUAAAGGGUGUAGGUCAAGUGCUAGAUUUGUUUCUAUUUCUUUUCUGAUUUAAACUCUUUUGAGAAUACUUUUAAUAUCAUUCACACUAAUAUUCAAAUCUGGAACUCAAUUUUAAGCUUGAACUUAAACUCUAACUUGUUUGUUUUCUUGAUUCAUAAUUAGUUGAAUUAUAUAACAAAAGGAUCUAUAUUUUACUUUUAACUUUGACUUUUGAGUAGAAACUUUCACAUAAAUACAUGAUAGUAAAAAAUAAACAAAACAAACAAAAAAAAAGUUAUAAUAAGGAUAAUAAUGUAAAACUCAUCUUAAUUUCUUUUGUAAAUAUUAUACAAAAUUAUACAAUUACAAAAAAAAAUCGAUCAUAAUUAUUUGAUAUACAUCUAAUCAAAUACAAUAAAUAUAUUUAUAAACGACAUAUAAUCAAAUACGAUAUGUAUUAAUAAAUUAUUUUUUUGGAUAAUAUUCAUAUGAACGAUUCAAAUCAACUAUUUAAACAAAAGUUUUUCUUUAAUUGCUAGUAGUAAUAACUUUUUUUUUAUCUUUUUCAAUUUUCAUUUUUUUCAAGAUUAUGAGCCCAAUAUGGUUUUGAGUAGUCACUGAGUUGACUCAACCGGGUUAGGCAAACUCGGUAAAUGAGGAAAAAAAUAAAUUAGUAAGAAUCCCAAGGGGAGGUAGACGUAAGCCCGAUUUCCGCGAGAAUCGUUGAAAGAUCGUGACGUUGACGCUCCGUAAGCUCGCUUUCACCCACACGUGCAACGCAUCGCCCCUGAAAGUAAAAACAUUCAAAAACUCACCCCUAGUGGGUCCUACUUCAUCAAUUUCAUAAUUUAUUAUGUUAAAAUUAUUAAAAAUAAAAUGUGCUUUUAUGUAAAGUAAUAGGGAAAUUUUUUUCUUGAAUGCCUAAAUAUUUAUAAAAUAAUAUUAAAUUUGAGUUUUUAUAAUAUUUUCAAUCAAGGCCUCAAUUAAGCCCCUAAUUGACACUUACAUGGCUUCAAGUAAGUCUUUUCUGUUUUUUUUUUUUAUAAAACAAACCAGGAGAAAUUCCCAUACAUAAUAAAAAUCUUGUAAUAUCCUCAAAUUUACAUGAACAAUUCAAAUUUUAAAUUUAAAUUUAUAAGACAGGAACUUUACAAAACAUUCCAAAAAAGAAAUGAAUCAAACCAAAAGAUAAGAAUCUUCCACAAGAAUGAAGUGAAGGCACAAGCCUUCACGUGGGCGUGGGUUGAAAUUAAAGGAUUUUUUUUGUCUAACAUAAUAAGUGUAAAUCAUUAAGGCAUAAUCAUCGAAAAUGCCUGUUGGAUUUUUGAAAAACUUUCGACUCGUCAGAUUUUCAUUGCGGAUACUGGUUGGAGAAUAUUUUGUCGUCGAUGGAGGGAGUCAUUGUUGAAGACUCUAUUAUUUUAUGACUUGAUUGACUUAGUUUAGAUUACAAUCUCUCCCCUUUCCUUUUCCGAUCUCGAUCCUUC